RNAcentral lists this ribosomal RNA (750 nucleotides) under Triticum aestivum (bread wheat). RNAcentral's name for it is "partial small subunit ribosomal RNA". The record is from RNAcentral. Lineage: Eukaryota; Viridiplantae; Streptophyta; Magnoliopsida; Poales; Poaceae.
AUGGAUGUAGCUAAAAACUUCGCCAGUAGUAACAAAGUCCAACUGCGAGCGUACGGCGGCGAGGAAGCGGCGGCGCGCGCCUACGACCUGGCGGCACUCAAGUACUGGGGCCGCGGCACCGUCCUCAACUUCUCGCUGUCUAGCUACGACCAAGAGUUGAAAGAAAUGGAGGAGCAGUCAAGGGAGGAGUACAUCGGCUCGCUCCGGAGGAAAAGCACUGGUUUCUCAAGAGGGGUGUCCAAGUACAGAGGCGUCGCAAGGCAUCACCACAACGGCAAAUGGGAGGCCAGGAUUGGGCGUGUGUUUGGCAACAAGUAUCUCUACCUAGGCACCUACGCAACGCAGGAGGAGGCAGCAAUGGCAUACGACCUCGCUGUGAUCGAGCAUCGCGGCCUCAACGCCGUUACCAACUUCGACGUCAGUCGCUAUAUCAAGUGGCACCACCAUCGCCACAACCAUGCCAACGACACAGACCAACUUCCCGUCCGCACGAGCCAACCCCCCACCAUUGAUCUCAAUGUCACCGCCCUCCGUGAUAACGAUCGAUUGCAACAACCACAGCAACAGCUGAAGCCUGAGUACAGCAGUGGCACUUCGCCGGCGCGGUGCAGCUUCCCGGACGACGUGCAAACAUACUUUGGUUGCGACGACGACGACAACAGUGUCGACUACACGGAGGUUGACACGUUCUUAUUUGGGGACCCGGGCGUGUGCGCUGCGCCCAUUUUCCAGUUCGAGUUGGGCCUUUGA